AAAGUACUCCCUCCGUCCCAAAAUUCUUGUCUUAGAUUUGUCUAGAUACGGAUGUAUCAAGUCACAUUUUUGUAUUAGAUACAUCUGUAUCUAGACAAAUCUAAGAUAAGAAAUUUGGGACAGAGGGAGUAGUUG
This is a non-coding RNA of Triticum aestivum (bread wheat), 135 nucleotides long. The record is from Rfam. NCBI's taxonomy places the organism in Eukaryota, Viridiplantae, Streptophyta, Magnoliopsida, Poales, Poaceae.